RNAcentral lists this ribosomal RNA (436 nucleotides) under uncultured bacterium. RNAcentral's name for it is "bacterial SSU rRNA". It matches the Rfam family "Bacterial small subunit ribosomal RNA", at positions 43 to 524 of the family's 1533-position model. The record is from RNAcentral.
CAGGCCUAACACAUGCAAGUCGAACGAAGCCUUCGGGGUAUAGUGGCGCACGGGUGCGUAACGCGUGGGAAUCUGCCCUGGGGUUCGGGAUAACCGUUGGAAACGACGGCUAAUACCGGAUGAUGAUGAAAAUCCAAAGAUUUAUCGCCCUGGGAUGAGCCCGCGUCCGAUUAGGUAGUUGGUGGGGUAAAGGCCUACCAAGCCGACGAUCGGUAGCUGGUCUGAGAGGAUGAUCAGCCACACUGGGACUGAGACACGGCCCAGACUCCUACGGGAGGCAGCAGUGGGGAAUAUUGGACAAUGGGCGAAAGCCUGAUCCAGCAAUGCCGCGUGAGUGAUGAAGGCCUUAGGGUUGUAAAGCUCUUUUACCCGGGAUGAUAAUGACAGUACCGGGAGAAUAAGCCCCGGCUAACUCCGUGCCAGCAGCCGCGGUAAU